CGCUGCGCGCCAUUAGUAUUAUUUGUAUUAUUUGUUGAGGGCGAGCAGCAAAUUCUCAAAUGGCAACGGAUUCAAUUGGCAAUGCUGUGGCAAUCAUUCAAGAAUUCUUCUGAUGACAAGAUAAAUUAUCGGUAUCAAUAGUUAGCAAGGGUUGGCAAGUGAAUGUAAACUCCGUAUUAGUUAUUUGAAUUAUUUACAAAAUACCAUGCGAGGUACGCAAAGCUUGCAAGUACAUUCAAUGCAGCAGGACCCCCAACUAGGCAGCCAUCCUCUACCCGGAUGGAAGGUAUGGUCGGACUGAAAAUUUUAGUAAGCAAGAAGCUAGCCCGAAACGAGCAGAAUGAAAAGAGUACAGGAGGCCGGAAACACUCCCAAAUGGCUAUACAACCCAUGAGUUUAUGCGGCCUUUCUGAGAUGGCGGAACCAAAAGCGAAACGUGCUCGGCCGUCUACUCCUCAUUCUAGUUUUAAAAAUCUCUGCUCUCUACACAGAAACAUUAAAAUCGGUGCCUGAAACUUUUAUUCAGUUUCGUCCGAAAGUAAAUCAUCUGCGAUUGGCGACUCAAGUCGGCAGAUACUGUGCAAGGCGAAGCAAACCUAAUAAUAAUAAUAAUAAAUAAUAUA
RNAcentral lists this small RNA (623 nucleotides) under Drosophila pseudoobscura pseudoobscura. RNAcentral's name for it is "GA32697". Lineage: Eukaryota; Metazoa; Arthropoda; Insecta; Diptera; Drosophilidae. The record is from RNAcentral.